UUCUCUUCCUCUCCUCAAAAAAGAUCCGCCUCCAACUCCUCCGUUGCUCCUCCUCCUCUCGUCUUCUCAAUUCCAGCGGCUCCAAACACCACCGGUGGGCAGCAGCAACUGGCGAAGAGCCAGGUAGCUGCCGUCCCCCCUCCUCUCGUUACCCCAUUCUCUCCAGUGGAGGCGAGGAGAGCAGCGAGCAGCUCCACAGGCAAGGACAGCCAGUAGUCGACGCCAAGCCAUCUCCCUCCACCUCUCGUUCCUCUUCUUUUUGCAGGAUUAGGAGCAGCAACAGCAAAACUCCGGCCACCAGCUCCGACAGCAGCAAGCAGCAGCGAGAACAUGCGAUAGACGAGUAGGCUCCAACCAGAAAUGGGAGGAAAUUUGUCUAAAAGAUGAAUACGGAGGUUUUUUAGCAAGAAAUAUAGAAAACUACCACCUACGGAGAUUGUGACGGUUCGUCGUGCUCGUGAAGAUCCGUAGAUGGUAUCGUAGCGCAGCUGCUGAAAGAAGAUGGAGAAUUCUGACCAAGCAUGGGGUUACGGAGAAAUCUGUCCAAAGAUGAAUGUAGAGAUUUUGAGCGAAGAAAUGCAGAAGAGACCACCUACGGAGCUUAUGACGGUCCGUCGUGCUUGUGACGGUCCGUAGGUGGCAGCGUAGUGCAGUUGCUGAAGGAAGAUGGGGAAGUCUGACAAAGUGUGGGGUUACGGAGUCCAUGACGGUCCGUCGUGUCUAUGACGGUCCGUCUUGCAGGUUCGUCAUGAAGUUCAGAGAAGUAAUCCAGUACCCAUAUUCCAAGAGUUGAAGUAUUUUGGAACGAGACCCUCGAAGGAUCGUCGUGUCUGUGACGGUCCAUCAUACUUGCCGUCGAGGUUAUGAAGAGAGCAGUAGAAGAAAUUGCACAAGUAUGGGACGACAGAGUCCAUGACGGUCGUCGUGACCACAAUGAUCCGUCGCGAGUUCCGUCGACCCAGUCGCGUUUUGACAGAUUUCCAGCAAAUAGAGUCCUUGUUUAAUUAGGUUUUUAUUUUCUAUAAAUAGUUCGAAAAAUCUCGUUUUUGAGGUUAGACUCUAGAUCAUUGUUAGACUCCGUAUUUUUAGACACCGUAUUAGUAAACAUUGUAUUGUUAGACUUUUGAUUAUAAUUAGACUUUUUGUGAGAUUAUUUAUUACUUCGAGAUUCUUGCAAGUGAUUGUUGGUGAUUUUUGGUGAUUAAUCAAGCAAACUAUCGG
RNAcentral lists this long non-coding RNA (1221 nucleotides) under Solanum lycopersicum (tomato). RNAcentral's name for it is "partial TCONS_00003795". Lineage: Eukaryota; Viridiplantae; Streptophyta; Magnoliopsida; Solanales; Solanaceae. The record is from RNAcentral.